Brassica napus (rape) is the source of this 1340-nucleotide long non-coding RNA. RefSeq lists it as uncharacterized. The record is from RefSeq and is a predicted model, not a curated record. The transcript is spliced from 2 exons. NCBI's taxonomy places the organism in Eukaryota, Viridiplantae, Streptophyta, Magnoliopsida, Brassicales, Brassicaceae.
AAAAUGAACAGUACUAACAGAAAAACGUGUUUUGAGGUUUAUUACGAUAAAAAUGUCACUUUGAAGGAUUAAAGUGCUAGUCAAAAAAACUCUAGUGUUUAAAGCAAUAGAAACUGAAACUCUCCUUGUUUAAAACUAUCCAUUUCGGUUGAAGAAACACAUAUGGAUUGGUCUUGUUCAAAGUCAAACUCAGGAACCCUAAUCUGUCAAGCCGCUGGACUCUUCUUCUUCGUCAUACCCAAACUCCUCCAUCCACGGCGAAUUGGCUCCUUCACCUUCCUCCGCUGCUUUUCACCACCAUCACAUUUGCCGCUUCUUCUUCAUAUUCCCUUUGUUUUAUCAAUCUCAAUUGCACAGAAAUCAAAACUCUAGAGGUCAUCGACCUAUAUCCUUUGACAAGGUAUGGCUCAGCGUGAAGACGUUUAUGACCUUAAUAGCCCACUAGAUUCCAGGUUUUCUUCUACUCCAGUGCUCCAAUUUCAAUUGUGUCUAUAAAAAUCUCCCUUUUUUUGUUGUUUACAGUUUUCACGAGUUUCUUUUGUUCGAUUUAGCUGACAAAACCCCCUUGAUUUUGUUCAAUCGAUUUCGGCAUUACUGUUUAUGUUCAUUUCUAUUAAAAAUCUCUCCUUUCUGCUGUUUCCUCUUGACAAAACUCCACCUUGAUUUUGUUCACUUACUAUUGUAUUUGUUUACGGUAUGACCAGAACUGGAUUGUUUAUGUUGGUUUGUCUUUUUGGUGUGUGAUUCUGAUUGUUUCUCUUCUAUUGAUUUAUGCAACUGGGAACUGAGUUCUGAUAUGCGUUUUCUGUGAAAAGUUUUACCAUUUUAAUGAUGCCUCAAGGAGUUGUACCAGUUCAGGGAUGGACCCCUACACCGUAAGUUAUGUCAUACCGGAACUGAUCACAGCAACUACAGAAACUUGCAGCAAAACGAGUCAGGCUAAUCUGUCCUCUUGGCGGGAUCUAUGCUUUGUUCUUCCUUGAAGGUCCUCACACAAGAAGAUGAGAACGGAAACGUCAAACUUGAGUGUACCGCCAUUAGUAAACAACAGUUUGCAGCUGGGAGGUUUCACAUUGACUCGCGGAUGACAGCUACUAUAGAUGCUGAUCGCAUUGCUGGGCUUGAUGUUCUUCGUAUUAUCAAUGAGCCUACUGCUACUUCUUUGGUUUAUGCUUUUGAAAGGAGAAGCAAUUAAAUAAUUAUUGUCUUUGAUCUUGGUGGUGGUACCUUUGAUGUCUCUGGUACUUUACAUUAAACUGUUGCUAUAUAUAUAUUAGUUUGAUAAAACGGUUACAGUUUUGUAAACGAAUUUUGAUUUAUAAAAACUCAAAUGCAAUGUA